AGAGUUUGAUCAUGGCUCAGAACGAACGCUGGCGGCGUGCUUAACACAUGCAAGUCGAGUGCGCGCCUGUAGCAAUACAGGUGGCGCACGGCGGCACGGGUGCGUAACACGUGGGCAAUCUGCCCUCUGAUGGGGAAUAACCCGCCGAAAGGGGGCUAAUACCGCAUAAAAUUCCUUGGACUUAUGUUCGAGGACUCAAAGGCGUAAGUCGUCGGAGGAGGAGCCCGCGCACGAUUAGCUAGUUGGUAGGGUAAUGGCCUACCAAGGCUUUGAUCGUUAGCUGGUCUGAGAGGAUGGCCAGCCACACUGGAACUGAGACACGGUCCAGACUCCUACGGGAGGCAGCAGUGGGGAAUCUUGCACAAUGGGCGAAAGCCUGAUGCAGCGACGCCGCGUGGGGGAUGAAGCAUUUCGGUGUGUAAACCCCUUUCGAUCCGGACGAAUGCCUCGCAAGAGGAGUGACGGUACGGAUAUAAGAAGCCCCGGCUAACUACGUGCCAGCAGCCGCGGUAAGACGUAGGGGGCCAGCGUUGUUCGGAAUUACUGGGUGUAAAGGGUUCGUAGGCGGUGUGGCAAGUUGGGUGUGAAAUCUCUGGGCUCAACCCAGAGACUGCUUCCAAAACUGCUGUGCUUGAGUGUGAGAGAGGCUCGUGGAAUUGCAGGUGUAGCGGUGAAAUGCGUAGAUAUCUGCAGGAACACCCGUGGCGAAAGCGGCGAGCUGGAUCACUACUGACGCUGAGGAACGAAAGCUAGGGGAGCAAACAGGAUUAGAUACCCUAGUAGUCC
RNAcentral lists this ribosomal RNA (786 nucleotides) under uncultured bacterium. RNAcentral describes it as "bacterial SSU rRNA". It matches the Rfam family "Bacterial small subunit ribosomal RNA", at positions 8 to 796 of the family's 1533-position model. The record is from RNAcentral.